This 428-nucleotide ribosomal RNA is filed under the name uncultured bacterium. RNAcentral describes it as "bacterial SSU rRNA". It matches the Rfam family "Bacterial small subunit ribosomal RNA", at positions 355 to 780 of the family's 1533-position model. The record is from RNAcentral.
UGAGGAAUAUUGGUCAAUGGACGCAAGUCUGAACCAGCCACGUCGCGUGAAGGAAGACGGCCCUACGGGUUGUAAACUUCUUUUAUACGGGAAUAAAGUGCCCCACGCGUGGGGUUUUGCAUGUACCGUAUGAAUAAGGAUCGGCUAACUCCGUGCCAGCAGCCGCGGUAAUACGGAGGAUCCGAGCGUUAUCCGGAUUUAUUGGGUUUAAAGGGUGCUCAGGCGGGGGAUUAAGUCGGCGGUGAAAUUUUGCAGCUCAACUGUAAAAGUGCCUUCGAAACUGGUUUCCUUGAGUGUGGAUGAGGUAGGCGGAAUUUGUGGUGUAGCGGUGAAAUGCAUAGAUAUCACGAGGAACUCCGAUUGCGCAGGCAGCUUACUAAACCAUAACUGACGCUCAAGCACGAAGGCGUGGGGAUCAAACAGGAUUA